UUAAAACUUUGUGUGUAAUUUAACACACAUUUGAAAGGUACGAGCAGUAAUUUUUAUCAUCUAACUGUCGCAGAACGGCAGCGUUAUUAGCCGACCCGUUCACUGAAGAAUAUAACUACAGUCAACGGCUGUCCAUCGAAGGCCCUAGCCGCUUGAAUCUGGGAUUGGCAGGAAAGAUAAACUAGCCGGAUUCCUCAGUCUGGAAACAACCGCGCAGUAGAGAGGACGGAUGAGAAUCGCGCUCCGCAGAUUUCGAGUGCCGGGUUCUCAGCCUCUUGGAUCCUGCGCUCCGGGUCCGCUUUCUGGUGAAACUCGACUGCCGGGACAAGCGCUACGUAGUUUCUGAGCUCCAGGUCCGCUACCUGGUGGAACUCGACUUCCAGGACAAGCGCUCCGUAGUUUCUGAGCUCCAGGUCCGCUACGUCGUGAAACUAGACUUCCGGGACAAGCGCUCCGUAGUUUCUGCGCUUCAGGUCCGCUACCUGGUGAAACUCGACUUCCGAGGUAUAACUCGAGGUGGUUAUCGGUGGUUGUUGGAGGUGGUUGGCGGUGGUUUGAAGUGGACGAGGAGGGGAACGAGGAAGACGAGGAGAACAAGGUGGACGAGGAGGACGAGGAUUUGUGCUCGGUAUAACCCGAGGUAGUUCGCGGUGGUUCCGGGUGAUCGAGGUGAGCGAGGAAGAGGACGAGGAUGACGAGGACUUGUACACUUUCUGUGCCCCACCUAGUGAUCCACUA
RNAcentral lists this long non-coding RNA (738 nucleotides) under Neodiprion pinetum (white pine sawfly). Its description in RNAcentral is "uncharacterized LOC124220999, transcript variant X2". The record is from RNAcentral. Lineage: Eukaryota; Metazoa; Arthropoda; Insecta; Hymenoptera; Diprionidae.